UAAAAACAUGUUAUUUUGGAAAUAUUUAAUGUAUCUGGGAAAUAUUUAGCAACACAUUUACAAAGCUGGUGGAAAUCUCUUCAGAUAAGACACUUUUGUGAAGUUGUAGCUUGUUCCACUUCAAAGAUUAACACAGAUGCAACACAACAAUAUGAAGAUGCAUGUAUUCAGCUGUUCAUAUUUCAUUAAUGCAUGUGGGAAGAAUAAGUUUCCUACACAGGAAAAAGAAGUUGCUGAACUGGAAUUUAUGUGCUGAUUCCACACAUAAGCCUCAACUCAAAAUUAAAGCUCUAUGGCCAGCCAAGGAUCACCAUCAAUAA
Molecule: long non-coding RNA, 320 nt
Filed under: Numida meleagris (helmeted guineafowl)
Lineage: Eukaryota; Metazoa; Chordata; Aves; Galliformes; Numididae
Description: lncRNA (ENSNMEG00000009957.1)
Source: RNAcentral